Ictalurus furcatus (blue catfish) is the source of this 4061-nucleotide long non-coding RNA. RefSeq lists it as uncharacterized. Lineage: Eukaryota; Metazoa; Chordata; Actinopteri; Siluriformes; Ictaluridae. The record is from RefSeq and is a predicted model, not a curated record. The transcript is spliced from 3 exons.
UGAGAGAGAGAUAAUGAGAGAGAGAAGGAGAGAGAGAAGGAGAGAGAAUGAGAGAGAGAGAAUGUGAGAGAGAUAAUGUGAGAGAGAUAAUGUGAGAGAGAUAAUGUGAGAGAGAGAAUGUGAGAGAGAGAAGGAGAGAGAAUGAGAGAGAGAGAAUGAGAGAGAGAGAAUGAGAGAGAUAAUGUGAGAGAGAAUGUGAGAGAGAGAGAGAUAAUGAGAGAGAGAAUGUGUGAGAGAGAAUGAGAGAGAGAAUGUGAGAGAGAAGGAGAGAGAAUGAGAGAGAGAGAAUGUGAGAGAGAAUGAGAGAGAUAAUGUGAGAGAGAAUGUGAGAGAGAAUGAGAGAGAUAAUGUGAGAGAGAAUGUGAGAGAAAGAAUGAGAGAGAGAGAAUGUGAGAGAGAGAAUGUGAGAGAGAAGGAGAGAGAAUGAGAGAGAGAGAUAAUGUGAGAGCGAUAAUGUGAGAGAGAAUGAGAGAGAGAUAAUGUGAGAGAGAAUGUGAGAGAGAAGGAGAGAGAAUGAGAGAGAGAGAUAAUGUGAGAGAGAAUGUGAGAGAGAAGGAGAGAGAAUGAGAGAGAGAUAAUGUGAGAGAGAGAAUGUGAGAGAGAUAAUGUGAGAGAGAAUGUGAGAGAGAAGGAGAGAGAAUGAGAGAGAGAUAAUGUGAGAGAGAAUGUGAGAGAGAAGGAGAGAGAAUGAGAGAGAGAUAAUGUGAGAGAGAAUGAGAGAGAGAGAGAAUGAGAGAGAGAGAGAAUGUGAGAGAGAGAAUGAGAGAGAGAGAGGUCUGAGAUUUCCCCUGAUUAUAUGACUGUCUAUUGUUCUGCACAAAAGCUGAAUGAAAACUUCCCGUUAUCUGAUAAAGAUCAGAAUGGUUCAUUAUUCACCAUGUUUUCACAAUACACACACACACACACACACACACACACACACACACACACACCGAGCAGUUUAAAUAAUUAACAUCCAGACGGAGAAAAUGUCCAUUAAUAAUGAAUGGCUCCAAAUGGAGAGAGGAUGUGAUUUAGACGUGUGUGUGUGUGUGUGUGUGUGUGUGUGUGUGUGUAUUUUAAAAUGUAUCAAUUUGGAUUUAAUUAUCUUUACAAUCUUUCAUGCUAUAAAGCUCAAUUCAGGAUAAUGUUCCUAGCUGUAGAACUGUCACUUCCUCGACAUCAGCAUCGUUCACAUACGCAGUAAACAACAUCAUCAACAACAACAACAACAACAACAACAACAACAUGCUGACACACUGGAACACUCGGACGUCACGGAGCUGUGUGAACGUAUCGGAUUGCAGUAGCAGCCUGGGUGUGAGCUGUGGGCCUUCUGUCCCCUUACUCAACACACACACACACACACACACACACACACAAAAUACACCAGUGUCUGCGCUUCCUUACUGUAUCACAGAGCUGUUCAGUAAGAUUUGUUCAGUAGAGUUGUUUAGACACACAUUCAAAAAAUUUUUUCUUACUAAUACAUCCGACAUAAAUGAUGAAAUCGUCCGUCAAAUCUAAAGAAGUACGUAGCGUUAACUUAAAGUUUUGUCCUUUAACUUGUUAAAUUAGCUAGAUAGUUCAGUAUUGUAAAUUAGCUAGCUAGUUAUAUUUUGUCAUUUCAUUUGUCACAUUAGGUCGCUAGUUAAGAUUUGUAAGUUAGCUUGUUAAAUUAGGCAGCUAGUUAAGUCUUCUAAAUUAGUUCUCUAGUUAUGUUUCAUCAUUUAGUUUGUUAAAAUAGUUAGCUAGUUACACUAUGUAACACUAGCUGCGUUUACACCGACAACAAUAAUCCACUCUUAAUCCGAUUAAGACCAUACUCUAAUUAAGGAACUACCAUGUAAACAGCCAUUUUUACUUACCUUAAUCUAAUUAAGGUCAUACUCGAAGUAAGCUCUAAUCGAAUUAAGACGUGUGGAGUAUUCCUGUUUUAGUCGCAUUAUGGACGUGUAUUACAGACAUGUAAACACCUUAAUCACAUUAUGAGCGUCGUGUGGGAGUUUUCACCGCAUUUUGCGACAGGACACGAUCACACACGGCAGUUUUACGGCAAUCAAGAGACUUCGGCUGCGUCCCAAAUCGCAUACUUUCCUACUAUAGGCCUGUAGUGGGGAAAAAUACAUGUAUCUCGGCUACUACAUAGACGGUAAGUACGCGAUUUGGGACACACCCACCGCUUCAAGCAGUUGUCUAUUAGCACGUACAGCAUGACUAAUAAUUAACCGCACUUAAAGCGUCCGUAAAAAAAUAAUAAUAAAAACACCCAAAACUGUAUACGGUACCAUAACGAAGACCAACGUGAAAUUCUGGAGGGACGUCGGACGGCGUGGCGCGGUGAUGUUCCUUUUCACGAGAUGAACCUCUAUGAAAGUGAUGGAGAAAGAAAGGAUCUGCUCAUGAUCCAGAACAUACCAGCUCAUCUGUGAAACAUGGUGGAGGUAGCGUCAUGGCUCGGGCUCGCACGGCUGCUUCUGGAACAUUCUCACUGAUCUUUAUUGAUGAUGAACUCAUGAUGGUAGCAGCAGAAUGAAUUCAGAAGUUUGCAGAUUUACAGAGAAAUGCAUCCGACCGAAUCAGGAGGAACUUCAUCAUGCAGCAAGACAACGACCCAAAACACACUUCCACCUGGGACUUCAUCAGGGGGGAAAGGGAUAUGCGACCAAAUAUUUAGUGUUAUUAUGCGAUCUUAAAUAGUAACGGUGAGUUUAAUGUCAGCAGUUUGACUUCAGAUCAUUAAACGAUACCACCAAUUAGAUGAAGAAAAAAAAAAACGCUCGAUGGAAGUGUGCUGUACUGGAACACUGGUCUCCAGCAGCUCUUUUCUCACUGCUCGGUAAGAGAGCGGGCUGAUAUUUACAGCGAUUCAGUACACACGCUGCAGCAGAGGACUGUAACACAAUAAGGGACAGAGAUCAGCUGGAGCUUGCUAUGGCAUUUCAAACACACACACCCACACACACACACACACAAAGAUCUGACCCGUAAAAACCAAGCUGUUUACGUUGAAAUGCUAUAUAAAGAAAGAACUUUAAAAGGUCAGAUUUUCCCACUUCUCGUGACAGCAUGUUGUCAAUGUACACAUGUACUAUUGAAACUGAGGUUUGUUUGUUUGUUUGUUUAACCCUUUGUAGGACUCAUCAAUGGUCCUAAAUAAAACCCUAGAACAGCAGGAGUGAACUACACGCACCUGAUUUGAACAGGGAUCCCAGAUAAUCCCCUUAAGCAGCUGUGUAACCCAACUCUGAAUACGAAGCACAAAUAUUGGCAUAACUUUUGGACCCUACGUUUGUUUCAGUAGCAGCAUUUGUAGGUAAACAGAUCGAUAAAAACAACUUUGAAUUGUAUUAUCAUUGGACUCUAGUAUAAAUAGUGUCCGCAGAAAGCACAUGCUGAGGAAGAAAGUGAUUCGGCUUCAGGAUUUUGUGCUGAGAUGUUUAUGGAUAGCAGAUUAGGUUAAGAUUACGUGCUAAACUACUGAUUAUGAUGUCUAGCUCCUGAGCAAAACUCGUGACGCAAACAUGUCAAGGUUGAGCGACUAUGUUUAGGGAAAACUGUGACAUUUGUGAUAUGAUGAUGUUUAAAUAAAUGACCAGCUCGUUGUUUAGCCAUCCUGGCUCCAGUUAGAGACCAGCACACACACACACACACACACACGCACACACACAUUGGUAUUCAUGACGCUUGUCCUCACUGGUGCAGUGAGCAUUAAACAGGACUACGUCUGUCGCGUGCUGCUUCAUUCCAGCCGCAGUGAAGGAGAUAAAGGCGACUAAUUCUGGCUGGAGGGAACAAACACUGAUAAUAAUACCGACGCUCUCACACACCCUGAUCUGUCCUGCGUCUCCUACCUACUUUAUCCACACGUCUUUCUGUCCCCAAUCCUCAUCCUGCUUUCUGUCGCUCUCGCUCUCGCUCUCGCUAUCUGAUGCGGGACUGCAGAGUAACACACACACUGUAGACAGAACCACACAAACCCGCCAUCGUGGAGCUAGCGUAGUCAUCCACGCAAAACAAAAUGCACUCUGUGCACAAUUUCAUUGCUUAUAGACGUGUUUAAAAACGUCAAACCGGUCUAA